UACGUAGGGGGCAAGCGUUGUCCGGAUUUAUUGGGCGUAAAGAGCGUGUAGGCGGUUUGGUAGGUCCGUUGUGAAAACUCGAGGCUCAACCUCGAGACGCCGGCGGAAACCAUCAGGCUAGAGUCCGGAAGAGGAGAGUGGAAUUCCUGGUGUAGCGGUGAAAUGCGUAGAUAUCUGGAGGAAUACCGGUGGCGAAGGCGGCAUCCUGGACCAUUACUGACGCUGAAUCGCGAAAGCUAGGGGAGCAAACGGG
RNAcentral lists this ribosomal RNA (253 nucleotides) under uncultured bacterium. RNAcentral describes it as "partial 16S ribosomal RNA". It matches the Rfam family "Bacterial small subunit ribosomal RNA", at positions 524 to 776 of the family's 1533-position model. The record is from RNAcentral.